CUACUUUUUGUUUGGCUGCGAAUAUGUUGAUCAUCUCUCUGUCUUCAAACUCCAACGCAGGUUUGUAAUGAGUUUGAAAUCCAAAGUGUAGACCAAACCUUCAAAGAAAUCCUUAGGGAGAAUAUGUUUCUCGUCACAAUAACCUCAACUAUCAUAUCUCAAAUAAUCGUGAUCGAGUUUGCCAGCAUUUUCAUUUCUUCCGUCAGGCUAGACUUGAAAAAAUGGGUGACGACAAGUCUUUUGGGAUUGCUCAGCCAAGUCGCCACUCGCUUCCCUUACCCAUCCAACCAAUAUUACCCGUAACUGAGAUUUGUCUUGCCAUAUAGGCACAAGUACCGUCAACUUUUGAAGCAUCCCUCUAGCUUUGGACGCUUCAGAGGAUGUUGUUCUCUGCGUGGGUGUGCGUGAGAGAUUAAAUAAUGGGUAUAUAUAAUAUCACAGUACAGUUAAUUCAGUCAAUUCAUUUCCUCUCCAAGCUAUGUAGAGUUGAAAUG
Molecule: long non-coding RNA, 494 nt
Organism: Arabidopsis lyrata subsp. lyrata
Lineage: Eukaryota; Viridiplantae; Streptophyta; Magnoliopsida; Brassicales; Brassicaceae
Exons: 4
Source: RefSeq, a predicted model, not a curated record